This is a long non-coding RNA of Monopterus albus (swamp eel), 258 nucleotides long. RefSeq lists it as uncharacterized. The transcript has 3 exons. Lineage: Eukaryota; Metazoa; Chordata; Actinopteri; Synbranchiformes; Synbranchidae. The record is from RefSeq and is a predicted model, not a curated record.
GAGAGAACAGCCACCUCAGAAAUACAGUGUGGUCACCAUUGGUUCCUGUUUGCAGUGAAGCAUCUCAGUCAAGUUUUUACCGCUGUGGGAAUGAGCAGAAGCAGUGAGAUGACAUCUUCCAGCUCCAACAUCUUCAUCAUCUUCACAAUUUUUCUGAGCUUCAUUUUCCACUCAAGCCAAGAUUUUGAAGUGAUUCAGCCUCCGAAUCGGAUGGUAAACACAGACGGAGUAGCCUUGAUCAGCUGUGAACACACUGCA